AUACGGAGGGUCCAAGCGUUAUCCGGAAUCAUUGGGUUUAAAGGGUCCGCAGGCGGUCAAUUAAGUCAGAGGUGAAAGCCCAUCGCUCAACGAUGGAACUGCCUUUGAUACUGGUUGACUUGAGUUAUACGGAAGUAGAUAGAAUAAGUAGUGUAGCGGUGAAAUGCAUAGAUAUUACUUAGAAUACCGAUUGCGAAGGCAGUCUACUACGUAUAUACUGACGCUGAGGGACGAAAGCGUGGGGAGCGAACAGGAGUAGAAACCCUAGUAGUCC
Molecule: ribosomal RNA, 274 nt
Filed under: uncultured bacterium
Lineage: Bacteria
Description: partial 16S ribosomal RNA
Rfam family: Bacterial small subunit ribosomal RNA
Source: RNAcentral